CAGUAGCCACGGUAAAACGGAGGGGGCUAGCGUUGUUCGGAAUUACUGGGCGUAAAGCGCACGUAGGCGGCUUUGUAAGUUAGAGGUGAAAGCCCGGAGCUCAACUCCGGAAUUGCCUUUAAGACUGCAGAGCUAGCAGGUGAGAGAGGUGAGUGGAAUUCCGAGUGUAGAGGUGAAAUUCGUAGAUAUUCGGAAGAACACCAGUGGCGAAGGCGGCCCGCUGGACAUGUAUUGACGCUGAGGUGCGAAAGCGUGGGGAGCAAACAGGAUUAGAUACCCCUGUAGUCCCUGUCUCUUAUAC
This 301-nucleotide ribosomal RNA is filed under the name uncultured bacterium. RNAcentral's name for it is "partial 16S ribosomal RNA". It matches the Rfam family "Bacterial small subunit ribosomal RNA", at positions 509 to 807 of the family's 1533-position model. The record is from RNAcentral.